AUUAUGAAAAAGACAGAUUGCAGCCAAUCAUUCGGAAUCCCCUCUCUGUCGGAUGAACCGCAAGACCCCUUGACAGAGCGAGCCCUUCUCCCAGGCCCAUCUGAUCAGCAACUGAAUGACAGUGAAACGAUGGUGGACAUUGGGCGAGGGCUCAUGGUCAAGAAAGGUGCAUGGGAACAUGUGCAGUGCCACCAUAAGGAUUCCUUGUUUGUUAAAGACCUGCUGGUGACCAUUUGGCCAAAAGACAUCCUUAAGGAGCGCUCCCUGCAAGGUUGGUUAUUAUACAAAAACAUGUAGUGUAUAAAAGUUGGUAACUAGAGGAUUCAUUGUUGUGGAUGUCUGUUAUGCAGGGAAACAUUGCCCAAGGUUCCCUGACCGCCCACGUAAGGCUCCCCUUACACCAUGGAAGCUGGACAUAAUGCGUGACUGCUACAGAGCACGCCUAGAGCGUCAAGGUGUGCCUGCAGGAGUACUACCAUUGGCAGUGAAACAAAUGAGUCACUUCAUUGUUGAAAAGCUUGCGGAUAUUGAGAAGCUGGCCAAGCGGGCAAAGGACAACCAGGGCUCUGCUGAAGCGUAACGGUGGAGAACCUUCUGUGCACUUUAUAAAUUGUGUAAAUAUUAUCUAAUGUGUGAAUAAAUAUUC
Long non-coding RNA from Rhipicephalus sanguineus (brown dog tick), 646 nucleotides. RefSeq lists it as uncharacterized. NCBI's taxonomy places the organism in Eukaryota, Metazoa, Arthropoda, Arachnida, Ixodida, Ixodidae. The transcript is spliced from 4 exons. The record is from RefSeq and is a predicted model, not a curated record.